AUGCACGCUGGCGGCGUGCCUAAUACAUGCCAGUCGAGCGAACAGACGAGAGUGCUUGCACUCUCUGACGUUAGCGGCGGACGGGUGAGUAACACGUGGGUAACCUACCUAUAAGACUGGGAUAACUUCGGGAAACCGGAGCUAAUACCGGAUAAUAUUUAGCUUCGCAUGAAGCAAUAGUGAAAGACGGUUCUGCUGUCACUUAUAGAUGGACCCGCGGUGUAUUAGCUAGUUGGUGAGGUAACGGCUCACCAAGGCAACGAUACAUAGCCGACCUGAGAGGGUGAUCGGCCACACUGGGACUGAGACACGGCCCAGACUCCUACGGGAGGCAGCAGUAGGGAAUCUUCCGCAAAGGACGAAAGUCUGACGGAGCAAUGCCGCGUGAGUGAAGAAGGUUUUCGGAUCGUAAAACUCUGUUGUAAGGGAAGAACAAGUACGUUAGUAACUGAACGUACCUUGACGGUACCUUACCAGAAAGCCACGGCUAACUACGUG
This 498-nucleotide ribosomal RNA is filed under the name uncultured bacterium. RNAcentral describes it as "partial 16S ribosomal RNA". It matches the Rfam family "Bacterial small subunit ribosomal RNA", at positions 29 to 507 of the family's 1533-position model. The record is from RNAcentral.